Molecule: ribosomal RNA, 373 nt
Filed under: uncultured organism
Description: partial 16S ribosomal RNA
Rfam family: Bacterial small subunit ribosomal RNA
Source: RNAcentral
GUAGGUGGCAAGCGUUGUCCGGAAUUAUUGGGCGUAAAGCGCGCGCAGGCGGUUCUUUAAGUCUGAUGUGAAAGCCCACGGCUCAACCGUGGAGGGUCAUUGGAAACUGGAGAACUUGAGUACAGAAGAGGAAAGCGGAAUUCCACGUGUAGCGGUGAAAUGCGUAGAGAUGUGGAGGAACACCAGUGGCGAAGGCGGCUUUCUGGUCUAUAACUGACGCUGAGGCGCGAAAGCGUGGGGAGCAAACAGGGAUUAGAUACCCUGGUAGUCCACGCCGUAAACGAUGAGUGCUAAGUGUUAGGGGGUUUCCGCCCCCUUAGUGCUGCAGCUAACGCAUUAAGCACUCCGCCUGGGGAGUACGGCCGCAAGGCUG